CAAAGAAACUCGCGGAUCGCCGGUGUGAUCGCUUCCUGCUUACCCCCGCAUCACACGCACAUCACCACCGCCACACGCGCGCUCACCCACGCCCUUAUUAGAAGGGCCGCCGCCUCAUCCCUUCUCUCUCUCUCCCUGUACCUCCCUGUGCAUCCCUCCUACCUUUCGCUCAACCUCCUCCUCACUGGCUCAGAGACAGCACGGCGCCACCUUCACCAUGUCCCUCGCACUCCUCCCCAUGAUCCUGCGCAAGGACGACUCGCUCGUCCUUGCUGUGUACAACGAGAAGGCGGCGAGUCUUACGGAGCUCAACGGCGAGGCGAACCGCUACACCGGCGACUACCGUGAGUGUGAGGUUGCCUUCAACCCGGCGCGGCCCACCUGCUUCGCCCACGCGACAACCACCACGCUGACGUACACGGAGGUGAUCGAGGACACCGCCGCGGCCGAGGACGACGCGUGCCGGUUCAGCUUUAAGACGCUCUUCACCGUCUCCAUGCCCCACGUCGCGGUGAGCCUGGCCUUCUCGCCGAAGGGCACGUACCUCGUCACGUACGCGAUGAUGGAUCAGAAGCGUACCCCCGACGGCAACCUGAGCGUCUUUGAGACCGCCAAAGGCAGGCUGCUUCGUCGCGGCAUGCAGGCCCGCUGGCCGGCCAUGAUCUGGACGGCAGACGAGGCAUACGUGGUACGGCCGGUGCAGGGUUGCAUGCAUGCCAUGAACGGCGACCUCUCCUCCACGGCGUCGUCCUCGGUGCUGUUGGAAGGCACCAACGAGGACAACAGCGAGCAGCAGUCGGAUGCCGAUCAUGAUGGUGCAGCUGCCGUCAACGGGACACUGAGCAAGGUGGACCUGAUGCUGGCCCAGGACAAGGAGAUCGAGUACGCGACAGCGCCAGCUGAGGGCCGCCCGAUGCUUGCACUCUUCAAGCCAUUCUACAAGCAGCGCCAGGCCACGUUCUGUGUCUAUCGCCUUCCGCAGCUCCGUGAAGGCCCGCUGUACCAGGUGAACUUCGGCCGCGCCGAGGCAGCCAGCCUCUUCUGGAGCCCGUCCGGCAACUACGUGGCGCUCCUCGUAAAGUCCGAGCGGGACCCGAGCGGGAAGAGCUACUACGGCACCGUGCAGCUGCACAUCAUCGACGUCAUGAACCGCAGCAUCACGGACGUCAAGCUGAAGGGUGAGGGCGAGACAGUGCACGACUGCCAGUGGUCGCCCACAUUGGAUGAGCUGCUGGUCAUUCACGGCAAGAUGCCACGCAACAAGUGCACUCUGUUUAACAAGAACGGUGUGGCGCAGAUGACCUUCGGAGACGCGCCGCGUAACAUGGCCGCGUGGGCUCCCAACGGUGCUCAGUUCGUCCUUGGCGGCAGCGGCAACCUCGCUGGUGACUACCAGUUCUACGUCCGUCCUCAGAUGGCGCAGGUGGCAGGCGCCGGUGCUGGUUCCAACGCCACCGUUCCUGUAGCUUCGUCGGCAGCUUGCACCGGCGAGUUCAACGAGAAGUGCAGCUUUCAGAACUGGGCCCCCGACAGCUACAACUUUCUAUGCUCCACCGUCUUCACACGGCUUCGGAUGGACAAUAAGAUCGUCGUGACGAAGCUGAAUGGGGCGCGGGUGCUGACGUGUAAAUAUCCGGUGCUGUACGGGGCGCACUGGGUGGCGAUGCACGCUCCCGACGAGUACCCGGCUCGUGCAGCCUCGCCGCGUGCUGCAGGGGAGGAGAUGCCGAAGCCGCAGGCGUACCGACCACCAGGAGGCACAUCUCGUGCGGCAGCGCUGCUCCGUCGCGACCCGGAGGCCGCUCAGAAGACGAAGCCCACCGGCCCUGUUGGGGCGACGGUCGUGGCGCAGAAGAAGAAGCGACGGCACUAAGCAAGGCUGACGUAAACCAUGUGUGCGACACCGCCAGCGGUGUUUGCACCGUGUAAAGCGAAUCCAUGCAUGCACAGGGUGUGUCUACCCCUGAGCAAGCGACAUCGCAUCGUGAGGAUCGGCGAGCGGUGACUGACCCUGCCUCCCUGCUCGUCUCUUUGCUCGCUCACACGACGGAGCGGAAAGGGGUGGAGGAGGUGGAGAGACAGGCGUGUACUGCUGCGCUUGGGCCGCGCCUCCUCUCCUCCACCGGUCGACCUUCUCUCACGUCGUCCCUCUGUUUCUCUCUUCCGCCUCUCCAUCUUCCGAUGCCUCCAGCUCAGAGGCGGGGCGAGCUGCGAGAGGGGAGGAGGGGGGAGGGGGAGCGGAGCGAUGCGAGGAAGAGCGCGCGAGAGACGUCAACCACGGCCGCAAUCCUACGUAAGACAACGAAGGAAACAUAUAAAGGAUGACAACGGAGACGGAUGGGGGGGUGAGGGGAGGGAGGGGCAGCCUCUGAGAGAUGGUGCGCCUCUCUGUUACCUCGGAGGCCUGCAGACGCGCUCUCUUGCGGCUCUCGCGUAUACGUUUUGUUUGUGUGUGUGUGUGUUUGUGUGUGUGCUGGUGUGAUGCGGCGUCGCUCACACAUCCACGAGCACACCACAUCGCCUUCCUCUUAUCGUUUCCAUCCCCG
Molecule: unclassified non-coding RNA, 2546 nt
Filed under: Leishmania donovani
Lineage: Eukaryota; Euglenozoa; Kinetoplastea; Trypanosomatida; Trypanosomatidae
Description: gene:LdHU3.16.0830(CDS-product:Eukaryotic_transla tion_initiation_factor_eIF2A_putative)
Source: RNAcentral